ACACCACUACAUAGAAGACGAGACAGUCGAACACAUCCUCAACGACUGCAGGGUGCUCAGAAACGAGUUUGAAGAUACGACUAGUCUUGUAAUCGAUAGUAUUUAAUUUUUUUCAAACUUCGACCUUGACGGCCUUACGUUACGUGAAAGACCACAAUCUAAUUAUUCAGAAAGACCUAAAGAUGGAGGCGAGCUUCUUACCUAAUGCCAGUAGAACAUGGAUUGAGUUGCUUGAGUCAGCCAGAAAAACAAAUAACUUAGUACUAGUAGAGUUUAAGUCUAUAGUAAACAUGCGCGCCUUGAUUAAAACAUGGGUCCAUCAGUAUCUUCUUUAGCAAAGGAACGUGUAACUUAUUUUUUUUUUUUUUUUAACUUAUAAUGUAGGACAACCGGUUUGAGGUACCGGAAACAAAUAAAGAAAUUUAAAAAAUUGCUUUAAAGGUUUAAUUUAGGGAAAAAAA
Non-coding RNA from Biomphalaria pfeifferi, 461 nucleotides. The record is from the annotation of a GenBank genome assembly. NCBI's taxonomy places the organism in Eukaryota, Metazoa, Mollusca, Gastropoda, Planorbidae.